Molecule: long non-coding RNA, 5708 nt
Organism: Triticum aestivum (bread wheat)
Lineage: Eukaryota; Viridiplantae; Streptophyta; Magnoliopsida; Poales; Poaceae
Exons: 7
Source: RefSeq, a predicted model, not a curated record
AAUCGCCCCACUCUGCGCCCUCGAGCGAGGUUUCGUGCCCUCGGGCGAGAAACAGUCGCCCGACUCUUUCCCUCCUUCGCCCGCCGCCUCCCUUCGUCCCUUCGCCGCCGUCGCCCUUCGUCCCUUCGCCGCCGCCCUGGCCAACGAGCCUCCCUCGAUCUGUUUCCUAAGAUCUCUCAAGACCGCCCCAGCCCCGAGACAGGCAGCCACCAAGAUCCGAGAUCGGAGAUGAGCCGCCUCCGCUGAGGAACGAGAGGAGCCGCCGCCUCCAGGUCGUUGUUGUGCCACACCGGCGCCUCCAGGUCGCCGCCGUCACGCACUGCCUCAGGUCCGUUGACCACUCCUCUCCUCGCCACUCCUCACUGCCAGCCCCGCACAGCUCUGCCUCCACGACGGGGAUUCGCUCUAUGGCGUCCAUGAGAGGUGGCUGCAGCCUCCAUGGUGCUGAUCCGGUCCUUGCUGCUGGAUCCGGCCCUCUCCACUCCUCUUCCCAGUCUGAUCCAAUGGCGACCGCACGACAUCGACCUCCCGGAUGGCGUGAAGUCCCAGCGGCAACCUCAGGCCCCUUGCGGUUGGGGUCGAUUUGAGGUGGCUCCGGUGGAAACAUGGACCACAUCACACUGUUACAAGGGCUCCCGAGGCGACAUCCAGUUGCUCCGUGUGCGGGGAUUAUUUUCACCUCUGUUUACUUUUGCGUUUAUUUUGCACGCCAAAAACAGUGGGCAACCACGAGGUCAUCGUCACUUCGAGCGCGGCGAGAUCCUCGAGGUCGUCAUCAUCACAGACAAGGGCACUGGCAGAUCCAAUGGCGGCGGAUUCGAGGCGGAGGCGGCCAUUAGGGCGUGCUUGAGUCCGUACCCGAUGAUUAGCGGCCGGAGGGCAACUGCAACCUCGCAUGCCUCGGGUCCAGAGGUCCAAGGUACCACAACCAACUGCCUCUUCAGCCAUAUGCUGGGUGUCCGUGUUGAACGUAGCAGAUGGUUGCCCUUCAAGCAUCAACAAAUUGGAAAAUUCAAGCUCUGAUUAGAUUACAAGCAGGGCAGAAAGGGAAUCAACACCAUCACUCCAAAACAUUGAAGGUGAAUAAGUGAACCACUAUUUAAGUAAAUAGACGAAUCAUAUUUUGUUAGAACUAACCAGUUGCUGCUAACAUAAUCCUCUCCAGGAAGAUCAGUUUCAGACAAUAUAAUCUGCUAUUUACUUUCUAAUUUCUAUGUAUUUAAGCAUGUUCAAACUCAGUACAAUUGUACAAAUGGAUAUAUUUUGAUUUGGUGACUUGCUAGAGACGAUUGUUCUGGACAGAACCUGGACCUUAUGAUAUCUACCUAUAUAUAUGUUUCUGGCCGCAUGUCUACUUAUUCUCUUAAGGCCACAGUAGGACCGAUCGACACUAGAUAUAUCUAAUAACUGUAUCAUGGUUUUCGCAAAAAAAAUAAAUUAAAAAAUAACUGUAUCAUGGGAUCACAUGCCAUUCUUUUUGCUGAAAAAUCACCUGGCUUUAUUGGAAAGGCUUGAAACAAAGCGACCUGCUUGACGAGCUCCAAACAGAGGUAAGGCUUGAUGCCCCCGCUGGAUCAACUAUUUUUACAAUAUUGUUGUGACUUUCUAAUGACUGCAGCCCAUUUUUUCUUCAUUGUUCUUUGGUCUUUUUUGGGAGAUUUAACAAGUUUCUGAACCAUUAUGUAAAAGAAUUGGAAUCACUGACAUAUUAAAUUCAGCCACAAUUGCAUGAACGAGUGAGUGCUGAGUAGCGAACCCAAUUUUUGCCAUUUCAGAUAUCUAGCAACGUAAUAAUAAGACCACUAAAACUAAUAAUGGUACUAUCUCUUACAAAUUAAUUUACCCUUACAACGGAUUGAGGCAAUAGAUUACCGAGCCUGCAUCAUGAUGGCCCUUCUUUAUGUCAGUUGUCUUGGACCAGUUAAAGGUAACCGCAUCUUUCUUACAAUUUUUUGGACUAUUAAUAUUUUCCCUGUCUGAGCCAACCAAAAGAUACUUUCAUGCAGCUAUUUCUAAUUUAAUUUAAACCAAGAUGACUAUCACCAGUCCCUUUUUUAGUUUUCAUGCAUUUAUCAAGGAAGCUACUUUGUUACUUGGAAUGAUAGAAUAACUACAAUGUAGAUAUGCUGAUUUUGUGUUUGAAUCAGUCUGUUCUGCUGAAUGCCUCUUUUAUUUGCCAAGCUCCAAUGGCUUACCAAGAUGUGGCUUUUUUCAUGGAGAGUAGUGUUUGCCCAAAAACUACCGUGGAACCAAUUGUGCCUCAGCCACCAAACUUUCCCAAGUAUGGAUAUACGACCUACAAUGUACACAGUAUCAAAGCCGCAUUAAACAAAUUGUUUUGUUGUCAGGUCAGCAACUCUUAAGAAUUGUUUUUAUUGUAUAAUUUUCCACUUCUUACAACUUACAAUUUACUGAACUUGUGAAUGUUGGAUUAGUUACCAGCAUCACAAGAAUAUUUGCGCCGAGCGGCGGAUCGGUUGACCAGAUAUGAGAAAAUCACAUUGCGCCAACUUUUAUCAUUUUUCAUUCUGUGUUCUUAUCUCUUCACUGAAACAAUGAUAUAUCUUUCCAGAAUGCCUGCCGUUGUGACGUUUUGGGGAAAAUUAGCAGAUGCCCUUGAUGCAGACAAAGCUACAACGGUGGUCUGCUCAAGAACCCGUUAUAGUUCUAUUUGUUGGCAUGCCAGUACAUGAAUUUAAUGAAACUUGGCCUUCAAGUCCUGUCUGGCAACUUGAUGGUACAUAAAUCCAACUAUUUCUGAAGCGGCAGCUAUUCUAGGAAGAUCUACUGCAAGAUCCCAUCAAAUUGAGAUAAGCACCGGCUCACAGGGUCAUCGCUAGGCAACAAAUACAACAAUCACAUAAUUAUCAGCCGUUGACCCUGGUGGAAUCAUGGACCAGUACUAUAAACUGGAAAUAAAGAGAACUGAAGUGUCCCCUUCCAUGGCGUUGGGGGGCCUUUCUCUGCCAGGCGCGGCGGCUCCUCGGUAGGAUGAUGCAGCUGGCUCGGCGGAGGCUAGGACACAUUACAAGCCCCCUCACCCACCCUGACGAGAAGGGCGGCAAGACGAAACUGCUUGCUGAUUUUUAUCGUUGCAUAAAUAUGCUUAUUGUUACAGUGCUUGUCGCAGAGCUGGAGAUGAAAAGAACCAAUCUUACUUUACUAUUAUGUGAGAAUUAUUAGUCUGCAAAUUGAUUACUAAUCCCUCCGUCUCAAAAUAAGUGACUCAACUUGUACUAGCUUUAGUACAAAGUUAGUACAAAAUUGAGUCACUUAUUUUGAGAUGGAGGGAGUAUUUUCUAUCCUUUGGUGAAAUGACCAAGAGCAAGCAAGAUGUUGCCAAUACUUGCGAGAUGAUAGUGUAGUUGGCCUUGACUUCCUUUUCUGGUCCUAACCAAUUUUAGAGAACAGUGUAAUGUUUUUCAUUGUUUAUUAUCCUCGGUGCAUACAAAAAAUUACUUGAGUCUCAGGUAGCCAGGUUGCAUUAUCACCAUCUUACAAAUAUUUGUUGUGCAGGUCUGAGCUGUGUGCAAGGAAGCUCAACACAUUGGAGGAAAGCAUUGUCGGAUAUAUGGUAUCCUGACCCUCUUACUUGGGACUGGGAUAAGUUACAAUCUUACAUGUUCUGAGUUCUGUACUCCCAUGUACUUGGGUCCAAUAAUUUAUCUUGACAUUAUUUUAAAAUUUUCUCUAAGAUGUGCAUAUCACUGCUGAACUUUUUGCAAUAUAUAAAUUCAGUGUUAUUGUGAACACUUGAACAAUACAUACUGAUGUGUAGAAUGAGAUUGUUGUAUACUGAGGACUGAGGUAAUCCUUUAGUCAGCUAAAUAGUGCAUAGUUUACUGAUGUAGAUUAUUAGUAAGCUUCUAAUAAAUAUGAUUUGCCAAAAAAAUAAAUUGCGCAUACAAGAGUCAGCUAGGUAAAUAUGAUUUAAUAGGUUACUGAAGAUUUGCGAUGAAUAAAAAUUGCACGGUCACCUAGGUAAACCGCAGGAUGUUUUCCCCACCAUGGAUGUCUUCUUAUGUCAACCUGCUCUUGGUAAGUACAGUAUGAACUGCCAAAAUUUCAAUGGUACAUGAGUGGAUAAAUUUUGCAUGAUGGUGAAUAUGUUAUCAUUGCACUAAAACAAAUCUAUGCUAUGAUGUAUCUUGAUCAAUCUACAAUACCAUUUGGGGUAAACGCUCAUGUAGAUAAUCAUGUCUCCUUGAAAUUAUUUGUAUGUAAAUAGUUUUGUGCUAUGGUGUACCUUUGCUGCUCCUGAAAACUCUUAGUGUAAAUGGUCAUGGAGAUAAUUAUGUCUAUUUGAAGUUAUUAGAAAGUAAUGAAAUUCUAUGUUCAUGCCAUUUCUCUUUUCUUUUCAUGAGAAAAAAUCACUCAAGGAAGGAUCAAAUUAUAUAGCAUGGCCAGAGAUGAGUAACUCGGAGUCACAACUUCACCACCAUUUCCAAACGCAAGUUUGUUGGGAAGUCAAAGUCAUGCGCUAGGUUGAGAGGAGGGGAGGCAUCUGGUAGAGAGAAAUGGUAUCUCAGUGUGGCAUCGAGGUCUUGAGAGAAUGUUUGUUUAACUACCAUAGUUUCAAGUCAUUUUCUACUCCAUAGCAGCACACAAUUAUCUUAUUAGAAUUUAUACACGGGUGUUAUUACUUGGUAGAAACAAGUGAGAAUACCACAAUUAUUUGGGAGAAUUUUUAUUACUGAGACCUUUAUAUUUCUUCUAGACAAAAAGCCAACAUCUUUGUUGAGGUUGAAGAAAUGGGGAGAUAAAGUUGCCAUAGCGAAAUAUGCAUCUUUCAUUAACUGUAAAUAAGAAAUUCAAUUCUCCGUCAUCUCUCUGAGGUAGUGGUAACCUUCUCAUUUUCCAAUCAGAUAUAUAAUACGCCAUCAUCUGUUGGAGUAUGUGAGGACAUUUUCAUAGUUUUGCUAAAAUCUAGAAAAGAUGUCAAGCAAUGGUAUGGUGAGAUGACAUACCUUUGAAGAGACGACAAUGCUACAUGCUGCUUUGUCUUUUUCAAGAGUGGUUGGUUAAGGAGGCAUGUGGACUCUCAAGGAAAUAAGCGGGAGAGAGAAUUGAUAUUUGUAGCUAUAUGAAUAGAUAUUACAGGCUUGUGUUUGACAUAUAUUUUCUGAAUUACGAGCGCAUAUGUUUUCGGUUAUGCCUUGCCAAAGCACGAGCACUUAGCUAGCAGCAUUCAACAUGCAUGCAUAUAUGUUUAUAUGUUGACUUCUGUAGGUCUGAGAUAAAACGGAUGGCUUCGGAUGAUGCUUUGAAAAUGUCCGUCCACAAAGUCACGGACAUACUAUGACAUACUAUGAUGGACGGGACUCAAAUCUCAUCAAGUUUUACACAAUGAGAGAUGCAUAGAAAUAAUUGUUCUUCCUUGUACAUAUGUUGCACAUAAUAAUACAAAAGGUUUAUUUCUAUGUAUGUUUAAUUUUGCAGAGUAUAUAUCAAAGAGAUGGAGAGGGAUUAUGUCGAUGUUCAAAAAGAAUCCAUAGACAAGGGUCCUGAGGCAAUGUCGUUGGAAGGGGCUGAAAAUUUUCUGAGCUUUAUACAACAAUAUUGGAUAUGCAAGCAGAAAAAAAAGGCUAAGGCCCCUUUUGGUUCAUAGGGUUGGAAUAAUAAUAGGAAUAUAAAAAUUAUAGUAAAUGAGAUGUCAUGUAUCUCAAAUCAUAUGAAUAGUAAUAUGAAAAGAGAUGUCCUUUCAUUCA